UACGGAGGGUGCGAGCGUUGUCCGGAAUCACUGGGCGUAAAGGGCGCGUAGGCGGCCUGAUAAGUAGGGGGUGAAAUCCUGCGGCUUAACCGCAGGGCUGCCUUCUAAACUGUCAGGCUCGAGCACAGUAGAGGCAGGUGGAAUUCCCGGUGUAGCGGUGGAAUGCGUAGAGAUCCGGAAGAACACCGGUGGCGAAGGCGGUCUGCUGGGCAGUUGCUGACACUGAGGCGCGACAGCGUGGGGAGCAAACAGG
RNAcentral lists this ribosomal RNA (253 nucleotides) under uncultured bacterium. Its description in RNAcentral is "partial 16S ribosomal RNA". It matches the Rfam family "Bacterial small subunit ribosomal RNA", at positions 524 to 776 of the family's 1533-position model. The record is from RNAcentral.